UCAUGGGUGGUUCAGCGGUAGAACUCUCACCUGCCACUGGGAGGCCUGGGUUUGUUUUCCAGCCCAUGUA
RNAcentral lists this transfer RNA (70 nucleotides) under Bos grunniens (domestic yak). It matches the Rfam family "tRNA". From Rfam's summary of the family: Transfer RNA (tRNA) molecules are approximately 80 nucleotides in length. Their secondary structure includes four short double-helical elements and three loops (D, anti-codon, and T loops). Further hydrogen bonds mediate the characteristic L-shaped molecular structure. tRNAs have two regions of fundamental functional importance: the anti-codon, which is responsible for specific mRNA codon recognition, and the 3' end, to which the tRNAs corresponding amino acid is attached (by aminoacyl-tRNA synthetases). tRNAs cope with the degeneracy of the genetic code in two manners: having more than one tRNA (with a specific anti-codon) for a particular amino acid; and 'wobble' base-pairing, i.e. permitting non-standard base-pairing at the 3rd anti-codon position. Lineage: Eukaryota; Metazoa; Chordata; Mammalia; Artiodactyla; Bovidae. The record is from Rfam by way of RNAcentral.